AUGGGGGUCAUUGUGACUUUUCAGCAAAGAAUUGCCAGGAUGGAUGCUCAUGAGGUAAUACCAAAGCAGUCUGUAGGAGAUGCGGAGAGCUGCAGCUGCAGACAGCUGGUUGCACCUGCCAUCCUGGAGUUCUCAUUUCUUCUCACACCUGUCUGUCUAGAAAGGAGCAGAAACCCUAUGAUGGAGAGCAUACUAAGGCACGAGUGUGUGCUCAGCCAUGUCCAACUCUCUGGGGCCUCCUGGACCUGUAGCCUGCCUGUCCAUGGAAUUUUUCAGGCAAGAAUACUGGAGUGGCUUGCCAUUUCCUAUUCCAGGGGAAUCUUCCCAACCCAGGGAUCAAACCUGCAUCUCUUGCUACUGCUGCAUUGGCAGGCAGAUUCUUUACCACGGCGCCAGCUGGGAAGCUGAGGAAAGAAUACUGUGUGUCCAUCAAGUCCCCUUUCCUUUUUCCCGGAACUACAUGUCCCAGCACCCCCUGCUGUCAGGUCAAGUCACAUGACUGAGUUCUAGGCAAUGGACUGUGGGUAGGAGCGAUGUAUGCCACUUUCGGGGUGUCCUCUAAAAACACCACAGGCAGUCUUCUCAGUGUGCUUGCACACUCUUCCCUUGCGGUCUGCUGAAAACCCAGUGAAGAACAUUGAGCCCCUGGGGAUGGCUGAGCCACUGGACUGAAUUGUUCCGUAAUCUGAUGUAGUAGAACCCUGGCUCCUGUUCACCUCCACUAGACUGGAACAUUAGGUUUAUUAAGCCACUGAGGUUUCGAGGACUGGUUAUUAAGCAGUUACCUAACUUGAUAAUACAAAGCCUGAAAGGGGUAUCCGUAUCCUUGUUUUUCCAGGUGGAAAACCAACUCAGAGAUGCUAAGUAACUUGCCAAGGUCACACAGCAAAUAAGUGGCACAUCUGAGAUUUGAGCCCAGGUUAUAACUUUCCCACUGUACCAGGCUAGCAGGGUAGUUCAGUUCAGUUCAGUUCAGUCACUCAGUCAUGUCUGACUCUGCGACCCCAUGAAUCGCAGCACGCCAGGGUAAGUGCCCUGUAUAAAAGGUGCAUUAGCAUUUGUCUUUUGAGGUGUCAUAGAAAGAAAGGCUGGAGAAAGCAAUGGCACCCCACUCCAGUACUCUUGCCUGGAAAAUCCCAUGGAUGGAGGAGCCUCAUGCGCUACAGUCCAUGGGGUCGCUAAGAGUCGGACAUGACUGAGCGACUUCACUUUCACUUUUCACUUUCAUGCAUUGGAGAAGGAAAUGGCAACCCACUCCAGUGUUCUUGCCUUGAGAAUCCCAGGGAUGGGGGAGCCUGAUGGGCUGCCAUUUAUGGGGUCGCACAGAGUUGGACACAACUGAAAUGACUUAGCAGCAGCAGCAGAAAGACACACACACAGCAGGAUUAGGAGAUGGAGAGGGAGGGAGAGGCUGGAUGGCAGGUGUGCAGAAUGGCACAUCACAGUGGCCAAGAGAGGUAGCCUUUCAAGGAAGGGGUGGUCAGUUGUGUCUAAUGAGACCCAGCCAGGUGGAGGAGGAAGAGGGUUGAGGACAGGCCAUUAAAUUUAAUGACCUUGGUGACAGUUUCAGCUGAGUGAUGGGGCAGACGCCAGGUUGGAGGGAGCUUGGGGACAAGUUGGUGGUUGGAUUGGUGAAGGGAAGAAGAAAAAUAAGGGAUAGUUUUAAGCAGAGGCCAGGCCAAGGGAAGGAAUUUUGAGGAGAGUCAGUGGUUAGAAGGAGAUUAAAAAUAAAAAAGGGACUCAUGACCUACAUAAUGUGAAGCACCUGAAUGCGAUGAUUUUCCUUUUCUGCUUGGUUCUGGUGAGCACUCCCAGAGCUAAGCUGACAGGUCAGGAAGCAGGGAGGGAGAGGUUCAACACAGUCAGCAGGUCAUGCAACAUUAACUGGGCUGCAAGGCUGUCCCCUGAGUGGGCAAGCGGGUGGUGGCUGAUGUGCUGUGAUCGGAGAACCUGAAAUUCUUCAGGCUUGUCUAAGGCUAUCUAUCUUUUUCUUUAUAUUAAAUUCGAAAAAUUUUCUUCAUAUUCCUUCCAAGUUUUUUUUUUUUACCUUUAUUGAGGUAUAAUUGACAAAGCUAUAAUAUAUUUAACAUAUACAGUGUGAUGAUUUGAUAUAACAUACUUUGUGAAAGGAUUCCCACAACUCACCUAAUGAACACAUCCAUCAUCUCACAUGUUUACCUUUUUAUUUUUGUGAGAAUGCUUAAGAUCAACUGUCUUAGCAAAUUUCAAGUAUACAAUACAGUAUUGUCAACCCUAGUCUCCAUGCUAUAUAUUAGCUCCUCAGAGUUUAUACAGAAUAGUAUCCAUUUGACUAGUUUCAGGGGUUGGUGCUGAUAAACCUAGAUGAUAAAUCUAAGGAAGAGAGGGGUAGUCGCUUGUCUAGCUCUUACCACAUCUUCCUAGACCUCUAGCUGGAGCUUGCUAAGUCUCUCCAAAUGUCCAUUCUCUCCCAGCCUUCCUUGCAGCUAUAUAUGGACAUGUACUAAGUUACUGACAAAAGCGUGUGCUCAGCUUCCCACCAGAUCACACUCAUAUACGGAAUGUUUGCCCUGAACAUUGUCCAUUUCCCCUUUUCUGUGGGCUGGAACUUAGAAAUGUCAGUGAUGAGCCAGCUGUGGUUAUAUGGACACAGGCAAGACCCUACACAGGUAAGCAAUUGUGAGAAGAAACUUGGGCCCCUCAAGACCUUGUAGAAAACAAUAGCUUAGUGUUCAGGACCAGUCUCUCCUUCUGGACUGGUGUGUGGGAGAGAUGCAAACUUCCACUGUGUCUCGUGGUUGAAGCAGCUUGGCCUACACCUUAAUUAACAUUCAUCCUUCGCUCUUCUCCAUGUCUCCUUCCAUGGUGCCCUUCACCAUUCAGCAGUUGCCCCAUCCCUUCUCUGUCCUUUCCCCUUUUAUUUUUUUCUCUCCCUGGUUUGGCCAUAUUCUUUCAGUCUCCUCCUCACUAUCAGAACAUCUUUACUUAUCCUUGUUUCCUCUGUUUAUAUUUCUUUCUUUUAAAAAUUCUUUUAAAAAGAUGGAUGGUUUUAUUAAGAUAAAAAUUCACAUAGCAUAAAAUUCACCAUUGUAAUCAUUUUAAAUUGUACAGUUCAUGAUCAAUUGAUUAAAAAUUUUCUUUUAAAUUGAUGGUAUUCCUUCACUGUCUUUAGAGCCCUUCCAAGCGAGCCCUCGAAAUGUCAGCAUUUCCUGGGGUUCUGUCCUUGACCUUGCUCUUCUUUCCUCUGCACACUGUAUGUGCUUUCUUUGGUCAGCCUUAUCUACUUUCUGAGUUUUUAUCCCAUCUGAAGACAUCGGAUCUGCAUCUCCAGCUUGAUCUCUUUCUUGAGCUUCAGACUGAUGUCAUUUGCCCGAUGGGUUCCACUUCUUUAGCAUUCCAAAGGUCACCCUGGGGGAUGCUGCAUUGCACACCUCCAGGGGGCUCCAGGUACUGGGUCACCUCAAUUCAACGCAUCCAUAUCAGUUAGGAGACUUGCAGGGGUACAUAGCAGGAAACUCAACUCAACACGCCUCAAGCAAGAAGGAAAUGUAUUGGCUCACAGAGGAGGACAGGCUGAGCUUCUGGGUGGCUUGAUCUAGUGGUCUGAUAAGUUCAUUCAAGGUCCGGGUUUUUCUCUUGAUUAUGUUCUUUUCCUAGAAUUGUCUUAGCCCAAGCCUCUGAGUUGGAGGAGUGCUGUUGGUAGUGAUCAGGACUACUUGUUUCCUUCUCAUUAAGGGAGAGCUCCUUGCCCAAAACUGUUGAAGAAAGAUAGUUUCCUUCAGUCUGAGUGAGUCAACUUACGGUCUAAAUGCCAAUAAAAUCACAAGUGGAAUGCUGUGUGGUCAUUGACUUAGCCCUAUGCUCCAUUCCAGUCGUUGGCAAGGAGGAUUAUUAUGGGAUAGGCUUAUUAUGAUUGAGUUAUAUGAUCAUGUCCACCCUGGGUCUGGAGUGAAUUCCCUAGACUGAAUUUGUGUGACAGGUGGCAGAUGGGUUGCGUAGAUGUUGGGCAGUCAAUUACAAUGUCAACCCCCAUAUCAAAAGCUAAACUCAUCACAUCUACUCAUUUGCCUCAACCUUGGUCUUCCUUCUGUAUUUUCUAUUUCAGUGACUCGUCCCACCAUUAACUCCCCACUCUAACAGAAGCCAGAGUCCUCAGCUUUCUCAGCUUUCUCUCUGUGGCCCCCACUCAAUGAUUUAUUUAAUCACCAAGAUCCAGUAUUUUUAUUGUUUGCGCUCCUGUCUCAUAUCUACUAUCACCAAUCUGACAGCUAUCUAAUUGAUUUCUUUUCUUUAGUUCCAAGACCCUCCACCCUACCCUUGCUGCAGCUACCAGAAUAAGUUUUUUAAAAUGCAAAUCUGGUCUUUUUGGUUAUCCCCUUUGCUUAAAUCUUUCAUUGACUUCAUAUCAUUUCUAGGGGAAAAUCCAACCUCUCCCUAGUGGUUGGGGGCUAGGCAGGAUUUAGAGAAAUAUAUCUUGGCUAUGAAGGGACCACAGCUUGUACUGAUACAUAGUCUCAAUAGUAUCUGUUAAAUAGUAUCUGUUAAAUUAAGCAGAAUGCUCUGUGGUUGCUUGCCUGUGACUAAGGGCUAGAUGAAAGGGUGAGUGACUUAGGCUGUGAGCCUGGAUGAGGUAGGAAGCAAUAUGAGGUACAUGGAAGUUUGACAAGGCCCAGAAUUUAUACUGCAUGGUGGGUUGUUUGGCUUUUAACUGUAGUCUGGUGCUUAUAGAGCUUGAUUUAAAAGUUAGACAGCUGGGGCUAACUGCAAAAUCGUGACCUUGCUUUUUGCCACUGUGGGCCAGCCGCUGAACCCCUAGAUUCAGUACCUUCCUCUGCAACAGGGGGAAUAAAAUUAUCCACCUCAUAGGUUUGUUGUGAGAAUUUGAUGAGCUGAUGCUCAUAAAGCAUUUGGAAUAUAGUAAAUGUGUGAGAAAUGUUGCUUGUUCUUGUUAUCCCUUAGUUGAAGUCUAAUAUAUGUUAGUAAUAUUUAAAACAGAUUUAAAAGUGUUUUAUAGUACAAACUUAUUGUAUCAGUUCAGUUCAGUUGCUCAGUCAACUCCGACUCUUUUUGACCCCAUGGACUGCAGCACUCCAGGCUUCCCUGUCCAUCACCAACCCCCAGAGCUUACUCAAACUCAUGUCCAUCGAAUUGGUGAUGCCAUCCUACCAUCUCUUUCUCAUUCCCCUUUUACUCCUGCCUUCAAUCUUUCCCAGCAUCAGGGUCUUUCCAAAUGAGUUGGUUCUUCGUAUCAGGUGGCCAAAGUAUUGGAGCUUCAGCUUCAGCAACAGUGCUUCCAAUGAAUAUUCAGAAUUGAUUUCCUUUAGGAUGGAAUGAUUGGAUCUCCUUGCAGUCCAAGGGACUCUCAAGAGUCUUCUCCAACACCACAGUUCAAAAGCAUCAAUUCUUCGG
This 5388-nucleotide long non-coding RNA is filed under the name Ovis aries (sheep). Its description in RNAcentral is "lncRNA (ENSOARG00000025505.1)". The record is from RNAcentral. Lineage: Eukaryota; Metazoa; Chordata; Mammalia; Artiodactyla; Bovidae.